CCUCGGAUAGCUCAGUUGGUACAGCAUGAGACUCUUAAUCUAAGGGCCAAGGGUUCAAGUCCCACGCUGGGAA
Non-coding RNA from Podarcis lilfordi (Lilford's wall lizard), 73 nucleotides. Lineage: Eukaryota; Metazoa; Chordata; Lepidosauria; Squamata; Lacertidae. The record is from the annotation of a GenBank genome assembly.